GCUCCCGUGGCGGAAUUGGCAUACGCGCUAGUCUUAGGAACUAGUGCCGCAAGGCUUAGAGGUUCGAAUCCUCUCGGGAGCA
This 82-nucleotide transfer RNA is filed under the name bacterium. Its description in RNAcentral is "tRNA-Leu". It matches the Rfam family "tRNA". From Rfam's summary of the family: Transfer RNA (tRNA) molecules are approximately 80 nucleotides in length. Their secondary structure includes four short double-helical elements and three loops (D, anti-codon, and T loops). The record is from RNAcentral.